GCCCGAAUAGCUCAGUGGUAGAGCAUCAGACUUUUAAUCUGAGGGUCCGGGGAUCGUAACCCCGUUCGGGCU
Molecule: non-coding RNA, 72 nt
Organism: Ditylenchus destructor
Lineage: Eukaryota; Metazoa; Nematoda; Chromadorea; Rhabditida; Anguinidae
Source: the annotation of a GenBank genome assembly